UGAUCCUACAAGGAAGCAUCCAAAAAUUUGAUAAAUUCCACAUCUGUUGUAUGAUCAUAUAUGUGCAAUAAUUAGGCAAACAUCUAUACACUUAAAAGAAAAGUUUUGAGUUCUCGGACACAAUUCGGUUUUCAGAACCUUCUAUGCACACUAGUUCAACCAUUGGACUCUUUCAUCAGAAGGAAGGGUUCAUCUGGGACCGGACAAUUCAUCUGCAAGAAUGCGGGAAGUGGAGUUGGGAUGGAACGGGUAGGCUAGCCCUCUUGCUGCCCCAAGUGCUAUGUGCUUCCGGGUAGGCCAUCCGAGUGGAGGCUGUGAAUCUCGGCACUCAAUUGCUGAGAUUCACAGGAAAAAAAUAAGUCAUCAACCUCAACCUUGAUAACAAUGGAGCGAAGCCGGGAAUCACACUUCACUUUGCCCAUCAAGUGUUGCUUCACAGCUCAAAACAAAAUUUGUAUAAAGACUACAUUGAAGUUUAGUACCUCUGAGACGCGAAGCUACACUUCCAUUGGCCA
Punica granatum (pomegranate) is the source of this 515-nucleotide non-coding RNA. The record is from RefSeq and is a predicted model, not a curated record. NCBI's taxonomy places the organism in Eukaryota, Viridiplantae, Streptophyta, Magnoliopsida, Myrtales, Lythraceae.